Molecule: ribosomal RNA, 253 nt
Filed under: uncultured bacterium
Lineage: Bacteria
Description: partial 16S ribosomal RNA
Rfam family: Bacterial small subunit ribosomal RNA
Source: RNAcentral
UACAGAGGUCCCAAGCGUUGUUCGGAUUCACUGGGCGUAAAGCGUGCGCAGGCGGUGAUGUAAGACAGAUGUGAAAUCCCCGGGCUCAACCUGGGAACUGCAUUUGUGACUGCAUCGCUGGAGUGCGGCAGAGGGGGAUGGAAUUCCGCGUGUAGCAGUGAAAUGCGUAGAUAUGCGGAGGAACACCGGUGGCGAAAGCGCUCUGCUAGGCCGCAACUGACACUCAUGGACGAAAGCUAGGGGAGCGAAUGGG